GCGGAUGUGGCGGAACUGGUAGACGCCCCGGAUUUAGGUUCCGGUGCCGAAAGGCGUGGAGGUUCGAGUCCUCUCAUCCGUA
This 82-nucleotide transfer RNA is filed under the name Mesorhizobium hungaricum. RNAcentral's name for it is "Mesorhizobium sp. UASWS1009 tRNA". It matches the Rfam family "tRNA". From Rfam's summary of the family: Transfer RNA (tRNA) molecules are approximately 80 nucleotides in length. Lineage: Bacteria; Pseudomonadati; Pseudomonadota; Alphaproteobacteria; Hyphomicrobiales; Phyllobacteriaceae. The record is from Rfam by way of RNAcentral.